Molecule: ribosomal RNA, 167 nt
Filed under: Minutocellus polymorphus
Lineage: Eukaryota; Bacillariophyta; Thalassiosirophyceae; Cymatosirales; Cymatosiraceae
Description: partial Bacterial large subunit ribosomal RNA
Rfam family: Bacterial large subunit ribosomal RNA
Source: RNAcentral
CAGAAAUGCGUAGCUGAUGGGAAACAGGUUAAUAUUCCUGUACUUCUUAUAACUGCGAUGGAGAGACGGAGAAGGCUAUGCCUACCGGGCGUUGGUUGUCCCGGGGAAAGGCUGUAGGCUGAGGUGUUAGGCAAAUCCGGCACCUUAAGGCUGAGAGUCGAGACCAC